Molecule: ribosomal RNA, 442 nt
Filed under: uncultured bacterium
Lineage: Bacteria
Description: partial 16S ribosomal RNA
Rfam family: Bacterial small subunit ribosomal RNA
Source: RNAcentral
CCUACGGGAGGCAGCAGUGGGGAAUAUUGGGCAAUGGGCGCAAGCCUGACCCAGCAACGCCGCGUGAAGGAAGAAGGCUUUCGGGUUGUAAAUUUCUUUUGACAGGGAAGAGCAGAAGACGGUACCUCUCGAAUAAGCCACGGCUAACUACGUGCCAGCAGCCGCGGUAAUACGUAGGUGGCAAGCGUUGUCCGGAUUUACUGGGUGUAAAGGGCGUGUAGCCGGGCUGACAAGUCAGAUGUGAAAUUCCGGGGCUCAACCCCCGGACUGCAUUUGAAACUGUUGGUCUUGAGUAUCGGAGAGGCAGGCGGAAUUCCUAGUGUAGCGGGGAAAUGCGGAGAUAAUAGGAGGAACACCAGUGGCGAAGGCGGCCUGCUGGACGACAACUGACGGUGAGGCGCGAAAGCGUGGGGAGCAAACAGGAUUAGAUACCCCAGUAGUC